RNAcentral lists this ribosomal RNA (915 nucleotides) under uncultured archaeon. Its description in RNAcentral is "bacterial SSU rRNA". It matches the Rfam family "Archaeal small subunit ribosomal RNA", at positions 1 to 923 of the family's 1478-position model. The record is from RNAcentral.
UUCCGGUUGAUCCUGCCGGACCUGACUGCUAUCGGGAUUGAUACUAAGCCAUGCGAGUCAUGUAGCAAAUACAAGGCAGACGGCUCAGUAACGCGUAGUCAACUACCCUAUGGACGGGGAUAACCUCGGGAAACUGAGAAUAAUACCCGAUAGAACAUUAUACCUGGAAUGGUUUAUGUUUCAAAUAACUUAUUGCCGUAGGAUGGGACUGCGGCCUAUCAGUUUGUUGGUGAGGUAAUGGCCCACCAAGACUAUUACAGGUACGGGCUCUGAGAGGAGUAGCCCGGAGAUGGGUACUGAGACACGGACCCAGGCCCUAUGGGGCGCAGCAGGCGAGAAAACUUUGCAAUGUGCGAAAGCACGACAAGGUUAAUCCGAGUGGUUUCUGCUAAAGGAACCUUUUGUUAGUCAUAGAACCACUAAUGAAUAAGGGGUGGGCAAGUUCUGGUGUCAGCCGCCGCGGUAAAACCAGCACCUCAAGUGGUCAGGAUGAUUAUUGGGCCUAAAGCAUCCGUAGCCUGCUUUGUUAGUUUUCGGUUAAAUCCAUACGCUCAACGUAUGGGCUGCCGGGAAUACUGCAAAGCUAGGGAGUGGGAGAGGUAGACGGUACUCGGUAGGAAGGGGUAAAAUCCUUUGAUCUAUUGAUGACCACCUGUGGCGAAGGCGGUCUACCAGAACACGUCCGACGGUGGGGGAUGAAAGCUGGGGGAGCAAACCGGAUUAGAUACCCGGGUAGUCCCAGCUGUAAACUAUACAAACUCGGUGAUGCAUUGGCUUGAUGCCAAUGCAGUGCCGCAGGGAAGCCGUUAAGUUUGCCGCCUGGGAAGUACGUACGCAAGUAUGAAACUUAAAGGAAUUGGCGGGGGAGCACCACAAGGGGUGAAGCCUGCGGUUCAAUUGGAGUCAACGCCGGAA